RNAcentral lists this ribosomal RNA (328 nucleotides) under uncultured bacterium. Its description in RNAcentral is "bacterial SSU rRNA". It matches the Rfam family "Bacterial small subunit ribosomal RNA", at positions 8 to 334 of the family's 1533-position model. The record is from RNAcentral.
AGAGUUCGAUUAUGGCUCAGGAUGAACGCUGGCGGCGUGCUUAACACAUGCAAGUCGAACGGGAUCUGACCAGCUUGCUGGUUGGUGAGAGUGGCGAACGGGUGAGUAAUGCGUGACCAACCUGCCCCAUGCUCCAGAAUAGCUCUUGGAAACGGGUGGUAACGCUGGAUGCUCCAACUUGACGCAUGUCUUGUUGGGAAAGUGUUUAGUGGCAUGGGAUGGGGUCGCGUCCUAUCAGCUUGUAGGCGGGGUAAUGGCCCACCUAGGCUUCGACGGGUAGCCGGCCUGAGAGGGCGGACGGCCACAUUGGGACUGAGAUACGGCCCAG